CGGAAGUAGCUGUGCCGGGAAAACGCGCGACUUUUGAGACGAGAUGGAAUCAUUAUUGUCGUCGUCAGUGACUGAAGACUGUGGACGCUGAUUUGAGGCUGCACACCUGAGUCAUGAUGGAAAGAGAAAAGGUCCCAGGUGGCAAACCCCAAGAUACCAGCAAGGCUAUCGGCUGUGGACUGCUGCUGUCUAAUAAGUUUUGGCCAAAGAGAAUUGUUCCUCCAGUGAGCCAGCGACAGUGAGACCAGGGUGGACAGCUCUUUGGAAGUGCUGAGGCGAGAAAGAUCCCUCUGUUGUAAAGUUCCUUCGGGCUGCUAAGGUGAUGAUAAGACCAUGGGCUCCCUCACCCUCUCUCCUGAUUCUGUUCAC
Solea senegalensis (Senegalese sole) is the source of this 369-nucleotide long non-coding RNA. RefSeq lists it as uncharacterized. The transcript has 5 exons. NCBI's taxonomy places the organism in Eukaryota, Metazoa, Chordata, Actinopteri, Pleuronectiformes, Soleidae. The record is from RefSeq and is a predicted model, not a curated record.